Molecule: ribosomal RNA, 482 nt
Filed under: uncultured bacterium
Lineage: Bacteria
Description: partial 16S ribosomal RNA
Rfam family: Bacterial small subunit ribosomal RNA
Source: RNAcentral
GAUGAACGCUGGCGGCGUGCUUAACACAUGCAAGUCGAACGCUGAAGCCCAGCUUGCUGGGUGGAUUAGUGGCGAACGGGUGAGUAACACGUGAGUAACCUGCCCUUAACUCUGGGAUAAGCCUGGGAAACUGGGUCUAAUACCGGAUAGGAGCGUCAACCGCAUGGUGGGUGUUGGAAAGAUUUAUCGGUUUUGGAUGGACUCGCGGCCUAUCAGCUGGUUGGUGCGGCAAUGGAUCACCAAGGCGACGACGGGUAGCCGGCCUGAAAGGGGGACGGACAACACUAGGAAUGAGACACGGCCCAUACUCCUACGGGAGUCAUGAGUGGGUAAUAUUGCACGAUGGACGAAAGCCUGAUGCGGCGACGCCGCGUGAGGGAGGACGGCCUUCGGGUUGUAAACCUCUUUCGGUAGGGAAUAAGCGAAAGUGACGGUACCUGCAGAAGAAGCGCCGGCUAAGUACGUGCCAGCCGCCGCCGUAA